Molecule: RNA transcript, 1151 nt
Organism: Gossypium arboreum
Lineage: Eukaryota; Viridiplantae; Streptophyta; Magnoliopsida; Malvales; Malvaceae
Gene name: universal stress protein PHOS34-like
Exons: 3
Source: RefSeq, a predicted model, not a curated record
CAAAAGUUGUGUCAUUUUCUUUAAGGAAAAAAAAAUUGAGGAAAGAAAAAAAUGGAAAGCCCAAAUAAAGGAAGGAAAAUGGGUUCUUCUAACAGUGACCGAAAGCUACCCACGAUCAAGAUUCACCUCCCAACCUCCCCUCAUCACUCGACCUCCGCCGCUUCCUCCCCCAGCCCCGUCGCCGGAGCUCGUCGUAAGAUUGGCGUAGCAGUGGAUCUCUCCGAAGAGUCCGCCUACGCCGUUCGCUGGGCUGUUCAAAACUACCUCCGACCAGGCGAUGCUGUCAUCCUCCUCCACGUGUCUCCAACCAAUGUACUCUAUGGAGCUGAUUGGGGCCCACUUUCCCAGGCCCAACAAAGCCCACGAACGCCAGAGACCCAGAAGCAACUGGAGGACGACUUCGAUGCCUUCACGGCUUCAAAGGCAGCGGAUUUGGCCAAACCCUUAAAGGAAGCUGGGUUUCCCUUCAAGAUUCAUAUUGCGAAAGAUCAUGAUAUGAGGGAAAGGUUGUGUCUUGAGCUGGAGAGGUUAGGGUUGAGUGCUGUUAUAAUGGGGAGUAGAGGGUGUGGAGCUGAGAAAAGAGGGAAUGAUGGGAGGUUGGGGAGCGUUACUGAUUAUUGUGUGCAUCACUGUGUUUGUCCUGUUAUUGUUGUUAGGCAUCCUGAUGAGAAAGAUGGCGGGAAUGGUCAGCCUGUGGUGACAGAUAAGGAGGCCAGGGUGGAGGAAAAAGGUGGCAAAUGUUAAUCCUAUUGAUGCCUAGCAAGUCCGGUAAUUGCAGCUUUAUCCCAUCAGUAGCAGCUUUUCUUAUGUUGUAGAUAGCAAAGAAGACUAUGAGUCGCUCAGGAUUAGCUCGGAUGAAGGAUUCAGUUAAAAUGGAUCCUGGGAUUCUCUUUUUCUACUUUCAUCCCCGCAUUGUUUAACUUUUUAUUGGUGAUGUUAUCGUAUGAUUGAUGAGGUUCUUGAUUUCCUUUUAUGGCACUCGGGAUCAUGAUUUACUACACCGUGAUGAUAUACUAUAAGAUAAUCCCGGUGUCGACUUUUUCUUUUGGUUUUAUGAAUGUUUGAUUUGAUGCCAUAGUGCAGGACGGAAACAUGAAAAAAUAUUUCAUGAACUUCACCUUGAAUUCAAGGGCAAUUUUUUUAUGUAUAAA